AACUUUAUUAGAAGAGACGCAUUUAUUAGAUAAAAAGCCAGUUCAUGCUUUUACAGUAUGAAAAUUGGUGAUUUAUAAUAACUUAGCAAAUCGCAAAGUGAAAACAGGCGAUAAAUCAUUCAAGUUUCUGACCUAUCAGCUUUCGACGGUAUGGUAUUGGCUUACCGUGGCAGUGACGGUUAACGGGGGAUUAGGGUUCGAUUCCGGAGAGGGAGCCUGAGAAACGGCUACCACAUCUAAGGAAGGCAGCAGGCGCGCAAAUUACCCAAUUCUAACAGUUUGAGAGAGGUAGUAACAAGAAAUAACAAUACAAGGCAGUUAAAAUGCUUUGUAAUUGGAAUGAUAGAAAUUUAAACCCUUUUUAAAGUAUCAAUUGGAGGGCAAGUCUGGUGCCAGCAGCCGCGGUAAUUCCAGCUCCAAUAGCGUAUAUUAAAAUUGUUGCAGUUAAAAAGCUCGUAGUUGAAGUUCUGCUGAAAGUAACCGGUCUGCUUUUAAUAAAAGUGGUAUCUUGGUAUGUAUUUAGCAAUGAUGUCCUUUGAAGUGUUUUUUACUUUAUUGUAAUAAAGCAUAUUCAGGACUUUUA
This 583-nucleotide ribosomal RNA is filed under the name Hepatozoon canis. RNAcentral describes it as "bacterial SSU rRNA". It matches the Rfam family "Eukaryotic small subunit ribosomal RNA", at positions 185 to 760 of the family's 1831-position model. Lineage: Eukaryota; Apicomplexa; Hepatozoidae. The record is from RNAcentral.